RNAcentral lists this ribosomal RNA (260 nucleotides) under uncultured bacterium. Its description in RNAcentral is "partial 16S ribosomal RNA". It matches the Rfam family "Bacterial small subunit ribosomal RNA", at positions 73 to 334 of the family's 1533-position model. The record is from RNAcentral.
CGUUCUUUUCUUUGCGUGGCGACCGGCGCACGGGUGAGUAACACGUAUCCAACCUGCCCUUUACUCGGGGAUAGCCUUUCGAAAGAAAGAUUAAUACCCGAUAGUAUAAUGAUUCCGCAUGGUUUCAUUAUUAAAGGAUUCCGGUAAAGGAUGGGGAUGCGUUCCAUUAGGUUGUUGGUGAGGUAACGGCUCACCAAGCCUUCGAUGGAUAGGGGUUCUGAGAGGAAGGUCCCCCACAUUGGAACUGAGACACGGUCCAA